AUGGCGUGGGCUCGCAGUCGCGGGAGGAGGAGAGGAGUGGAGAGGCGGGGGCGGUCGGCAGAGCAGAUCGAGGUGGGAUGGGAAGUGAGAAGAAGGAAGAAAGGUGAAAACUUUUACGAGGCUGACGACUUUAUGAUUGGGUUGGGAGCCGCGCGCGCCCUCGUGUCCGAGACGAGAAAGAUGCGUAUGCACCGUCAGUCACAUGGCAGGAUGCCCUCACCAGCCGUUCGAUCGACCGCCAUAAAAAAUGGGCUUCUGGAGCACUGUUUGCAACGCUGGAUUGAUUGCUCGAGCUGUUUCUGCUGA
Molecule: ribosomal RNA, 306 nt
Filed under: Triticum aestivum (bread wheat)
Lineage: Eukaryota; Viridiplantae; Streptophyta; Magnoliopsida; Poales; Poaceae
Description: partial small subunit ribosomal RNA
Source: RNAcentral